RNAcentral lists this small RNA (749 nucleotides) under Arabidopsis thaliana (thale cress). Its description in RNAcentral is "ATSL274510". The record is from RNAcentral. Lineage: Eukaryota; Viridiplantae; Streptophyta; Magnoliopsida; Brassicales; Brassicaceae.
AAAAAAAAAUUUAAAAAAAGAGGGAUGCAACACGAGGACUUCCCAGGAGGUCACCCAUCGUAGUACUACUCUCGCCCACGCACGCUUAACUGCGGAGUUCUGAUGGGAUACGGUGUAUUAGUGCUGGUAUGAUCGCAUCUGUUAGUAUAUGCAAUGCAAUUGUAUAUAUUCUUUUUUGAAGACUUGAUGAACCAUUCGCCGUGGGUCCCACCCGCUAUGUAGGGAUACCCCAUCUAGUCUUAACGAGCUUUGAUGCGUCAAAAAAAUCUAAAACAAUGCUUGAACAAGUAAUUUUGGGUCCGUACUAUAGCCCAAAUCACAAUAAUGCCCGAAAAAGUACUUAAAUGUCAAAAUUUGGGAUCGACAAAAAGUCAAUGGAAAGGUUCCAUUGUCCUGCUUCUUUCGUCGGAGGGCUCUCUUUGGGCUUUCCAAAAAGGUAUCACAUGCUAAGGUUGGCCUCACGGUAUAAAAGUUAUAGAGUCAUAAAGUUUUACCAAAAAAAAAACAAAUUAAAAAAAAGAGGGAUGCAACACGAGGACUUCCCGGGAGGUCACCCAUCCUGGAACAACUCUCGCUCAAGCACGCUUAACUAAAGGUCAAAAUUUGGAGUCGACAAAAAAUCAAUGGAUAUGUUCCAUUGUCCGACUUCUUUCAUCAGAGGACUCACUUUGGGCUUUACGAAAAGGUAUCACAUGCCAAGUUUGGCCUCACUGUAUAAAUGUUAUAGAGUCAUAAAGUUUUAAUCAAAA